CCUACGGGAGGCUGCAGUAGGGAAUCUUCCACAAUGGGCGAAAGCCUGAUGGAGCAACGCCGCGUGAUUGAAGACGGCCUUCGGGUUGUAAAGAUCUUUAAUCGGGGACGAAUUUUGACGGUACCCGAAGACUCAGCUCCGGCUAACUACGUGCCAGCAGCCGCGGUAAUACGUAGGGAGCAAGCGUUAUCCGGAUUUACUGGGUGUAAGGGGCGUGUAGGCGGGCAUGCAAGCCAGAAGUGAAAUCUGGGGGCUUAACCCCCAAACUGCUUUUGGAACUGCGUGUCUUGAGUGAUGGAGAGGCAGGCGGAAUUCCCAGUGUAGCGGUGAAAUGCGUAGAUAUUGGGAGGAACACCAGUGGCGAAGGCGGCCUGCUGGACAGUAACUGACGCUGAGGCGCGAAAGCGUGGGGAGCAAACAGGAUUAGAUACCCUUGUAGUC
RNAcentral lists this ribosomal RNA (441 nucleotides) under uncultured bacterium. RNAcentral describes it as "partial 16S ribosomal RNA". It matches the Rfam family "Bacterial small subunit ribosomal RNA", at positions 338 to 795 of the family's 1533-position model. The record is from RNAcentral.